UUUAUAUCUCGAAUCCGCCUCGAGAUAUCGUUAGCACGCCUGAAAAUCAACCAGGGAAUUAGCUCGAGCUUCGGGAAUAAGUGCGUUUUCCCCCGGCCGCACAGCCAAGCACGCUCGGUGACGCCAUUUUUUUCUGCUCAGAGAAGCCACGCUCGUUUCUGCCUGGGUUUUUCCUGGUUCUGUUUUCUUCUGCCUCCCAAAAAUAUGGCAGAAUGUGGAUUGGUGACUCUAAACAGCCUCUAGUGUGUGCAGACGUGAGGUCAGAGAGGAAGUGGGCCAUAUGUCAUGUUCUGUGAGAAAAACUUUGGAGCUGUGGCCCUUUCAACAUAAAUAAAUAAAUAAUAAAUAAAUAAAUAUGCUACAUCUUGAAUUGAUGGUGCUUCUUUAACAGGGCUUAUACUAGGCUGAUGAAGGUAUUCAGGUAAAGGGCUCCUUCCUUGCACAAUUCCUCUCACCAGUAGAUGACAGUAGUUCAUCACAGACUGUAGAAUUUUUCUUGGGCUUGUUUGUAGACAAAUAUUAUGGUUAGUAUUCUUGUGUCUCCCCAGCCUUGUUUGAGAAAUGAACAUCCUCUCACCCUUUGCAGAAAACACUUAAAAAAAAAUCCUCCUUAUUUUUUUUCUUUGUCCAAGGUCACCACUCAGCAGCUCCCGGGAGGAUAAACAUGAUUUUAAAAAAGAGCAAAAUAAUUUGUUGGUUGGUUGUUUUGGGGGUCCUUUUUUACUUCGCAUUUGAGAGUACUGUUUGAUCUGCUCAUGAUUUCCUUGAAACAUUAGAUGUGCAUUGUAAGUUAUAGUAUUCGUCUUUUCUUUAUAUUUAUGUACAUUAAUAUAUUGUUCAUCAUAAGCUUUAUGUACCUAACAAAUAUCUAAUAUAUACUCAUCAGCCACUUUCUUCUUCUCACUUGCUUCUUCAUGCAAUUAUUCAGUCAGCUUAACUGAAUAAGUGCAUAAACUCAUGCAGCUACAACUUAAGAGCUUCUUUUUAUGUUCACAUCAAACUUCAGAAAGGGGAAAAUGUGAUCUCAAUUACUGUGACUGUGGCAUGUUUGUCGGUGCAACUGCUUUAAGGUUUAAUACAUUAUGUAUUCGAAUAUGUUUUUCUGCCCACCAUAGUUUUAGAAUGGAAUAACCAUAGGUUAUUUGAAUUUCCAUUGCCUUGCUGUCAGCUUGAACCAGUCAGUAAAUCCCCAGAGAGCAGGAACUUUAAAAAAAAACUCAAAUCAUCCCAUGACGCUAUCACAAUCUCUAAGAUCAAAAGUUUCCCUAUUCUGAUGUUUGAUGUGAACAUUAAGUAAAGCUCUUGACCUGUAUUUGCAUGACAUUUAUACACAGUGUUACUUCAUGAAUGAGCAGCUGUAUCUCUGUGCCUAACAAAGUGGCCAAUAAAUAGCCCUGCCCACCCCCAUAAGAACAUAAGAAAAACACUUAAGGAAAUUGUUCAUUCUUAUAUUAAGUGAUAUUUUAGCUUGCAUGAAAUGUAAAAACAUUAUUCUUUCUUUUCAUUAGCAACAAUUUUGCGAUGAUUUUUGGAACAAGGAAUUGUUUAGAGUAAACUAUAAACUUUGAUUGUUCCAAAUUUAACUGGAUUACAUUUUCUUUUAACCUGUGACCUGUGAAGUAUGAAGAAAGGAUUUAGCAUUGGCUCAUAUCCUAAAUGAGAAUUCUUACAGCUGAUCCACAAUAGAAUGACAAUAGAAACAAUACAGGGAAGUAGCUUUUAACAUGUUCCCAUUUCAGUUUGGCCCCAAGCAACUUUAAAAGGUAUUUUAUGCUUGAUUCCAGGUUAGAAUAUAUUGUAUAAAUCCAACAAAACAACUAAUUUGCUAUUAUGAGCUGUAAUGAUACGGGGCAGAAUUUAACCCAAUUUUCCCAAUUACCUUCGGAGUUGGAUGUAAUUUCGACCUAAGCCAAUGUGUAGUUGGCAAAGUUUAGCGUCUUGUACGUGAUAUGCAAUGAUCAAAUUCUUAGCCUUUAUAAGGCCAUAAUCUUUUUUAUCAAUGUGUAUCUCCUGCUGUCAGAAGAUGUUUGCAGAAUUAGCCAUAUUUUUUGCUUUUCAUUAAUAAUAAUAAUUAAUCAUUAAUAAUAAUUAUUCCAAAAAGAUGUCUGCUCCCCAAAACUGCUAAUACAGCCACCUAGGAAUUUCUAGAUCAUCCGUUUUCAAACUUUAAAUGCAGCUUUUCUUUUUUUUCCUCAGUCAAAUGGGGCUACUGCACUGAGCUCAUAAACAAUAUAGUUCCUCCAAUGUGAUAGUGAACUCUGUUCUGUUUUAUUGUAAUGCAAAUAAGGUUUCUUAGGAAAGUGUGUGUCCACCUUACAGAGAGGUGACAAAUUAAAGGUAAAAACACCAUAAAGUGUCUAGAAGUUGGCCACCAUAAGCUGACAAAACACUUUUUAAAUACUUUAAGUGCCUUUUCUCAUUAAUUCUAAUUAAUGGAGACUUUUAAACUUUGGACCGUUUUUCUGAAAGAUAUUUCCACAACUGGUGUUUUGUUAAUAGAUGUGGAGAGUGUUUUCUAACAUCUCAUUCCAGAAUGUCUCAUCGCUUUUUUUUUUUACUGGGUUGAAUUUCAGUGACUGUAAAGUUCAUAGCCCAUGACUUUCAACAUUUACAUACUACCCAAGCCAUUCAGCUCAUAAUUGUGCCCUGUGAAUGGGGACAUUUUCACCCUGAAAGAGUAAAUCAGUAGUUGUUCAGUUAUUUCAUUGUUUGCUCUUCUUUACAAAUUCUGCUUACAUGUUAAGAGAAAAAAAAUCCAAAUAAUGUUCAUGAUGAUGAAUAUGAUUGUGUCUCUGCACCUCCUCAUGCCAUGUCACGUGAUCACAUGCACUUGAAUCACAUUGUCUGGUAAUUUGCUCAUGUACAUAAGCUUUUACACCAUAAUUUGUCCUAUGAUUUUUUUGAUCCACCUUGUUCCACUUCAUGUUCAGGUUAUAGUUUACUUGUUUAUGUUCCAUGUUAUUUAGAGUUGUGGUUUCUUUGUCUUUCUUUUUAUGUUUUGUAUAUUGCACCUCAAUUUAAAUUAUCAGCAUUUGCAUGCACUCCCCACUUCUUUACUGUGACAUGAUGACUGUGGACCAGCAAUCCAGACUGUGAAAUCCAUCAAAUUAAUUUGUUUGUCCUUAUGUUGCAAUGAGACCAGCCUCAAACACACUGAAACUUCUCAUUAAUAGUCAAGCAGUGGCGUACACUUAUUAGUCUUAUUAGAAUAUUUGAUUUGUUCCUUGGUGCACAAUAAAUGGUGACAACAUUACUGUACUACCUGAUCUCAAAUGAGUAAUGGCCCACUGAUGAACAGCACUAAUCACUUCAUCCAGCCCACACACUGGUGAGGAAUGUGACACAGCUGAAUUAAUCAGUAUCUGGCUCCCAUUACUCAGUCAUAACUCAUCCAAAUGUUUGCAACUGGGUCACUUUUGGCAAGAGAGAACCAAACAUUUAAGGCCGUUUUUGGUCCACAUGACAAAUGCAGUUAAAACUUUAAAUCUGGAUGCUUAACUUUGGGGAACUUUUCAUCCACAGUACACUUGCUAAUGCCAUAAAAACCUGUAAACUUAAAGUCAAUCAUCUUCUAACCAGAUUUCUUUACCAUUGUUUAUUUGUUGUUGUAAAUACAAUGUACUAUUGCAGUUAUUGUUUAAAAUGCUAACAACAUGUAAAUAAUUUACAUCAACUUGAGCUAGCUAUGAUUCAUUACAUUUGCAUUCAUUGCUUAUACCCAAUAGCACACUUGAAUUUGUGUAUUAAACUCAUGGAUGUGGAGAUACCAGAAUUAAAGCUAUCAACCAGUGAUCCCAUGUGGCCCCUGGUGGCUUGUUUAUUAUAGAUACAUUUGACUGGAUACUGGAGAAACCUGCAAAAUGUUGCUCUCUGAGUUCUGUGUGAACUCAAAACCCUAAAGUCAAAACAUAGGAAUUCAGCGGAAGAUCAUUGCACCUCCUGACUAGGACAGUGAGAGGGCAAUGCCAUGAUAGUGGGAGCAAAACCAAUUGAUAUUCUCAUGCAAUGUGCGGUCACUGUGUUAUGACUUUAAAUUUAAACUACAAUUUUACACACAUUUUCUUAUCAUUACGAAAGAUGGUUAGUUUUGAAGGUCGUUUUUUCGAAAACUUAAAAAAUUGGAAAACAAUGCAACUUGUUCGACCUCUUCAGAAAGUAAUUUCUUUUAGAAGUUUAUAUAAUAUCAUCUGCCAUAUAUAUAUAUAUAUAUAUAUAUAUAUAUAUAUAUAUAUAUAUAUAUAUAUAUAUAUAUAUAUAUAUAUAUAUCGACACUGUUUGGGCUAUAGAAUUAUCCAGAAUUAAUCUAUAAACCAAUGAUUGUUUCAUUAUUAAUUGCAUUUCAGCAGGCACUCAGGCUUGGAUGAUAUCAACAUACAGUCUUAGAACCUGUUUAUUUAAAGUUUUCCUAAUAAAAGCUUCUAAGUAACACUAUUAUGUAAUGAACACUCUGUUUUAAACUGUUUGCGAUUCACUAAGACUUAUUAUUAUUAGUAAACACACACUUACAAUGUUUUAACUAUUGCGAAAUGUGGUUUUAACACGGUAGUACAACCAUGUGUGUCAUCAUCAUGUGUUUUGCAUUUGUAUGACAGGUCGUACAGUGUAAACCCCAGAGGGCUUGAAAUAUGCUGUACAGUGAAGGAAAGCUUGGCACAACCUAAGUCAAGUUCAAAAGUAUAUUAAAUUCGCACAUUUUUGGUUAAUUACAUCUAUCACUCUAACUCUCUUUCUUAUUUCCCCCUCCUUCAACUGCCUUCUUUUUUAUAUACAGGUAAUCUGGAGACAUUGUUUACCCGAGGUUAUGCCUGGCUGCACUGCUUAACGCAUAUAUUCUUUUGUUAAUUUAACAAGUAAUAACAUUUUGAUCUGUUUAAUAAUUCACUUGGAAUAUACUAUACUACAUGGUUAUACCAUAGUAACUGUGGGAAAAUUACACAUUGAAAAACAUACCAUAGUGAAAUCCUGGCUAAUUUGCCUACUCAUAAUUAAACCAUAAUCAAUGAGACAACCUAGAACACAAAUACUGUUCUUCAAAUCUUUCCUAAUUUAUAUACGUGUUUUGUUUUAUCUGCUAUGUUGUAAUGCCCUUUGAAAUGAAUUGUAAUUAAAUAAUGUGCGACAGUUUUUA
Molecule: long non-coding RNA, 5128 nt
Organism: Silurus meridionalis
Lineage: Eukaryota; Metazoa; Chordata; Actinopteri; Siluriformes; Siluridae
Exons: 4
Source: RefSeq, a predicted model, not a curated record